RNAcentral lists this unclassified non-coding RNA (345 nucleotides) under soil metagenome. RNAcentral describes it as "partial contains 5.8S ribosomal RNA, internal transcribed spacer 2, and large subunit ribosomal RNA". The stretch from base 1 to 120 matches the Rfam family "5.8S ribosomal RNA", at positions 35 to 154 of the family's 154-position model. The record is from RNAcentral.
GAUGAAGAACGCAGUGAAAUGCGAUACGUAAUGUGAAUUGCAGAAUUCAGUGAAUCAUCGAGUCUUUGAACGCACAUUGCGCCCCCUGGUAUUCCGGGGGGCAUGCCUGUCCGAGCGUCAUUGCUGCCCUCAAGCACGGCUUGUGUGUUGGGCCUCCGUCCUCCUCCCGGGGGACGGGCCCGAAAGGCAGCGGCGGCACCGCGUCCGGUCCCCGAGCGUAUGGGGCUUCGUCACCCGCUCUUGUAGGCCCGGCCGGCGCUUGCCGACACAUCAAUCUUUUUUCCAGGUUGACCUCGGAUCAGGUAGGGAUACCCGCUGAACUUAAGCAUAUCAAUAAGCGGAGGA